This 382-nucleotide long non-coding RNA is filed under the name Androctonus crassicauda. Lineage: Eukaryota; Metazoa; Arthropoda; Arachnida; Scorpiones; Buthidae. The record is from RNAcentral.
UACUGAAAAAUGCUGGUAAAUUAAAUAAAUCAGUGGAGAAAAGAUCCCCGCGGAAUUUCGGCACCCCUUUUGUCUUGUCCCCCUGACUAGGGGCUUCUGCGUUCAAUGAUGAAGGUCCCAUGCGUGGGAGGGGCCCCGUUUUCAGGUUGUGGGGCCCCAAAGUUUGGGUUCGGAAUCACGUUUUUUGCGAUUUUCUGCAGAACUUUUAGGGAUGGUCGGAUGCUUUGGGCGAUUCUGGACUUAUAUUAUCGUUCCGAAUCGAAUGCAAUCACUUUAAAUAAGCUACGACUUACCUUUUACGAUGUAACGUAGUUUUUUUCACAUAUGGCGAUUUAUAUCUGUUCCGAAGCUUGACAGAUACCUUCCUGUUUAUUAUUUUUUU